AGUACAGCCAGAAUGCUCCUUAGAAGGAAGGAUGGUGAGAUUUUCUUACGCACUUUGGACAUGUUAUCAGGAGGCACUGGUCCCUCGAGAAGGACAUCUUGCGUGGUAAAGUAAAGGGUUGGUGAAAAGAGAGAGACCUUUAAGAAGAUGGGUUGACACACUGAGUGCAAUACUAGUCUCAAAGAUAGCAGCCUUUGUGAGGAUGGCGCAGGAUCGGCAGUGUUUCCAUCUGUACAAAGGGGCGCCGUGAGUCAGAAUCCACUGGAUAGCACAUAACAACAAAAACACAAGUAGAUGAGUUGAACUGGGGGAAUCACCACCCUGCAUCCUUCAAGUCUUUGAUGGUGGCAGUUAUCUCUAUAAUUCCUCCAGGAAUGCGGUACUGCUUUUGGUUUACUAUUUUCCUAGAUAGGCAGUUCUAAUGGUUUCCCCUUGGCUUUUCCUACCAUAAUAGCCCUUACUCCACUUGUCUGGAAUCCACAAAGGUAGUUCUGCAAGUUGUUGGGUAUUCCAAUUCCAAUUAUGUGUUUAGGAACUGGGGAAAUCACUACGUGAUGGAUUCAGGGACCCACUGAAUCCACUGUGAAAUGAACCAGAGCUAUGGCUCCAUUAAGAACCUGACUUCCGUACAACCGCUUUCUGACCGGUGGGCCACAGUGACAUCUAGGGUCUCCUGGAUUCAGUGUCAGUUCAGAGGCAGUAUCCAGUAAUUCUUACGCUUGUACAGAUCAAGUAACUACUCGAUAGACUUCCCAUCUAUUUCACUCCUAGGGACACCAUGACUAAGUAGCCAAUGCCAUGAGUCCAUAGGAGUCAGGCUACUCUCAUUACUGCUUUGACUCCACUGUCCAUUAUGUGAACCACACCUACCUUGUUCUUGUCCAUUGAGUCACCCGCAUGGCCCCUAACACCGUGGGGUCCAAUCAGCCCCAUUGUAGUUUGGUGUCUUAAUUCAGUUAGGGCAUCUCCCAUUGUGAGAUCUGACUUCCAUAAAAUAACAAUCACAGCAGUCUUCAAGGAUGCUGGGGCUCCCUUCACAAAUUUAUUCCUCACCAUUGCGGUAAAAGGUGUGUCCUCUGAGCAUUCCAUGUGUGGGUCUGUGGGUCUAAGCCGAGAAAUCCACUCUAACAUGCCAGUUUCCCUAAGCCUUUGGAUACCUUCUUCUACUGUGAAAUCAAGGCGGGUCUGGCACUUCAGCUGGGUUUAGUGUGGGCCACCGCUUAAUCUGUGCUUCACUGAAUCAGUCACAUAAACUAUUAAAUCCUUUCCUAAGCUCUCUAGCUGAAACACUGGAUGAAGGAUCUGUGCUUAGUGGACCCAUAUCAAUGAACUCAGGCUGAGGCAACUUUAUGUUCCUUGCACCAUUAUCCCACACCCAUAAUAGCAAUUCCCACACGUAGUCUCCAGGCUUUUGUUUGUAUGUAUUAGAAAAGUCAAGCAGUUCUUUUUCUUUUGGAGUGUAGUGUACCUCCCCCUGGAUCACAUUUUGUGCUUUACCUUUGAGGAUAGCAGGGACUUCAGUCUAGUUAUAGGCCUAGAAGCAACAAUGGGUGUUGGGAAUGUGUCUGGAGAACAUUCAGCAAUGUCUUGUAAGACAUCUGCCUUAAGGGAUGAUGCCCCAGGCAGUGACUCAGACAUCACCCUAGUGGACGACUGAGACAAAGGCUCUUCAGACACAACUGGGUUAAUCUCAGCAGAUGGGGGUCUGAGGGGCUAACAGUUUUCCUGGGGAGGGUGGUUUAGCAGCCAAACAUGGAGUAAUCCCUUCAGGCGGGAGCUGCUAUUUGGUGAUGGCCUUGCUAUUCCUCAAUGAAACUCAUUUUCUUUCACUCCUAAUAGAGUGUGGGAUUUUGUUCUUCAACAACACAAACAAACAGAAAACAUGACCAGAGCCUUUGCAGCAGCAAAUUAGCUAGGAGAAGAUUAUAAUGUAAUGCUUUCAAGUUCUGAUUUAAAGUAGAAUUCUAACCCAGACAAAAUGUGAGGGCAAUCAAGGCAUUUCCAGACAAGUAAGUAAGAACUUAAACAUCUACUUGCAAGGCAUGCACCUUGAGGAAACUGUUGGAGAAAGGAAAUCAGCACAAAGGACUGAUGAGAAAAAAAAAAAAAAAAAAAGACUGUUUAGGCAUAGAAAAUAAAAACAGGCAUCUGAUCUGUCUGUAAAGAGACUAAAGUAACUCUAAGCGCUCAAUGUAGUCUUUCACCUUAGGUUUGGCGUUGGCUGUCUAGCAGCUCCAGGUAAGCUUUCCCCCAGGUUCUACCCUCCUUCCCUAGGAAUCAACCCAUCACCAUGAAGGAAAUGAGUUGCUUUGCGGAUCAAGCUAAAGAAUGUGAAGACUUAAGGCAAACUUUUGGUAUCAGCCUCCUCAGGUUUCUGACAUGUCCAGCAAAGUGAGAGAUCAUGGAAACUCCUUGUUUCCAUUCUCAUCUGGAGAGCUAACAUUCUGAGCAACGUGAUUGUUAACCAACCAGUCUUGAGAAUAUCCGUCCUGUGGCUGCUUUGUAACCAAGGUGAAACCCCCUUGACCUCCUGUCUUUCAAUUGUGUCUUGUAGCCAGUCAAUCGGCUCACGUAAGCAAUAAUGACAACGAUUGUGCUUUACUUGUCGCGUCUUUGAUUGACCUUCGUCACUGUGAACCAACAAGAAAAACUGUAAUUUUAUUCUCCCCCUUCAGCACUCUGAUUACUCCUGAUUUGCCUUCUUCCCGUGAGAUUCCGGAACGUCAGCCUGAGACUUUGCGAUCUCCCACUGCCACGUCUCCGCUGCAAUAAAUCUCUUUCGAUUUUACCUUAAGGGAGCUGGGAAGUCUUUUCUCUCCAACAUUUUGGCGUAGUUAAUCGGCAGGGUUUUUGGAGUUACCCUUCCCCCGGAGACCCGAAGACCUGAAACACGGGAUUCCGGCACCAAGGGCCCCUUUGUGUGCCCCUCGCUGCAGCUUUUUCGGACCCUUCUGGCUGUCUGGGGGGAGAAGGGAGCAGAGAGACUGGAGGACUUCAUUACCACCAAGCAGAAGAGCCAGGAGCAUUUGCUUUGAACCAGGGGCCCCUGCACUGAGAAGCUGCUAGAUCUGGGGAAGACUGAUGACAAGGACCUUCUCCCAGAGCCAACAGAGAGAGAAAGACUUUCCUAGGAGCUGACGCCCUGAAUUCAGACUUCUAGUCUCCUAGACUGUGAGAGAAUAAAUUACUCUUUGUAAAAGCCAUCCACGUGUGGUAUUUCUGUUGUAACAACACUAGAUGACUCAAAUAAAACAUGGGUAAAGAACUUGAAUAGACAUUGCUCCCAAGAAAAAUAUACAAAUGUCCAAUAACCACAUGAAAGUAUGCUCAAUAUCUUUUGUCAUUGUUGCUGUUGUUGUUAGGUGCCCGUGAGUCAGUCAGUUCCAACUCAUAGUGACCCUACGAACAACAAAAGAAAACACUGCCUGGUCCUAUACCAUCCUCACAACCACUGUUAUGCUUGGGCCCAUUGUUGCAGCCACUCUGACAAUCCAUCUCAUUGAGGGUCUUCUUUCUUGCUAAUCCUCUACUUUAGCAAGCAUGAUGUCCUUUUCCAGGGACUGAUCCCUCCUGAUAACAUGUCCAAAGUAAAUGAGACUUAGUCUUGCCAUCUUAGCCUCCAAGACGCAUUCUGGUUGUACUUCUUCCAAGACAGAUUUCUUUGUCCUUUUGGCAGUCCAUGGUUUAUUCGAUACUGUUUGCCAAAAGCAUAAUUGAAAAGUAUCAAUUCUUCUUUGAUCUUCCUUAUUAAUUGUCCAGCUUUCACAUGCAUAUGAGAAGAUUGAAACACAAUGGCUUGGGUCACACACACCAUAGUCUUCAAGGCAACGUCUUUGCUUUUCAACACUUAAAGAGUGUUCUAAGUUUUUUUUUUUUUUUUUGCAUCAGAUUUGCCCAGUGCAAUCCGACAUUUGAUUUCUUGACUGCUACUUCCAUGGGUGUUGAUUGUGAAUCCAUGUGAAGCGAAAUCCUUGACAAUUUCAAUCUUUUUUUUUUUUUUAUCAUGAUGUUGCUUAUUGGUCCAUUUGUGAGGAUUUUUGUUGUAUGUUGAGGUGUGAUCAAUCCAUACUGAAGGCUGUGGUCUUUGGUCUUCAUCAGUAAGUGCUUCAAGUACUCUUCACUUUCAGCAAGCAAGGUUGUAUCAUCGGCAUAACACAGGUUGUUAGUGAAUCUUUCUCUAAUACUGAUGCCCCGUGUUUGUUCAUAUACCCCAGAUUCUCAGAUUAUUUGCUCAGCAUACAUAUUGAACAGGUCAGUCGAAAGGAUACAACCCUGACGCACACCUUUACUGACUUUAAACCACACAGCAUCCCUUUGUUCUGUUCGAAUGACUGCCAGUUGCUGUGUGUACAAGUUCUUCAUGAGCACAAUCGACUGUGCCAGAAUUUCGCAUCUUCGCAAAGUUAUCCAUAAUUUUUUAUCACCCACACAGUCGAAUGCCUUUGCAUAGUCAAUAAAACAGAGGUAAACAUCUUUCCGGUAUUCUCUGCUUUCAGCCAGGAUCCAUCUGACAUCAGCAAUGAUAUCCCUGGUUUCACGUCCUCUUCUGAAUCCAGCUUAAAUUUCUGGUAGUUCUCUGUGCAUAUACUGCUACAGCUGAUCUUCAGCAAAAAUGUACUUGGGUGUGAUAUUAAUGAUACCGUUCGAUAAUUUCUGCAUUCUGUUGGAUCACCUUUCUUGGGAAUAGGCAUAAAGAUGGUCGGCCAGGCAGCUGUCUUCCAAAUUUCUUGGCAUAGACAAGCGAGCACUUCCAGCACUGAAUCUGUUUGUUGAAGCAUCCCAGUUGAUAUUCUGUCCAUUCCUGGAGCCUUGUUUUUUGCCAGAGCCUUCAGUGCAGCUUGGACUCUCUCUCGGCUCUGGAGGAAGGUCCUUCUCCUCAAUCUUCCCAUGGACUGGGAGCUUCUUAGCACAGGAAGCCCGGAUCCAAAGCACCGUUUCUGCUCCCAGUGCUUCUUUCUUGGUGGCAUGAGGUCCCCAUUCUCUGCUGGCUUCCCUUUCUUUUUAUCUCUUGUAAAAAAGAGAAAAAAGGAUAAAAGGUGGUGCAGGCCAACUCCAGAGAAACUUCCUUUACACUGGAUCACGGAUAUGACCUUAGUAAGGGUGUUAUAAUCCCACCCUAAUCCUCUUUACCAUAAAAUUACAAUCACAAAGUAGAGGAUAACCACAAAAUACUGGGAAUCAUGGCCUAACCACGUUGACGCAUCUUUUGGGUGGACACAUUCAAUCCAUGACAUUCUGCCCAAUGGUCUCCAAAAAUUCAUGUCCUUGCUACAUGUAAGACACAUUCACCCUAUCACAUCACAUCACAGCAAAAGCCCUAAAUCAACUCCAAGUCCAAAAUCCACAAAUUCUUCUUUACCUGUGAAAUCUAGAAUACAAGUUUGUUUGCUUCCAAAGUACAAUGGCAAACCAGGCACAAACUAGAUAUUUCCAUUACAAAUGGGAGAAAUUGCAGGGAAAGUAGUGAUGACAGGAGUAAAGAAAGUCUAUAGAAUAUAUUCCAUUAGCCCUCAAGGCUGGAAAAUAAUCCUCUGUUCUCUGAGAGGAUUCACACAAUGGCCCUGCCCUCCAGACUCCAGGUAUUGGUCGCAUUCUCUGGAUUCUGAGUCGAGGCCCCUGGGCCCUGGGCUUUAGCUCCGACUUUCAGGCCCAGGCAAUAAGACUUACCAAAAUAAAAUUAAAAACAUACAUAAAUGGAUGGAAAAGGUAUAAUAUGCAAACACCAAACAAAAGAAUGUUCGACUUGCUUUGCUCAUACCAAAUAACAUAGGUUUCAGAGUAAAAGUAUAUUAGCAUAAACAGACGGAGAAUAAAAACAAUAAAAGGGUUAAUUCACCUAGAAAAUAUAAUAACCCUAUGGCAGCGGAUUUUUUUUUUCUUUUCUUGGUUUAAAAGUCUAUGUCUCUAUUACGAGAGAUUCAAAAUACAAUGAAAAAAAAAAAAACUAAUGGGAGGAGGAGCCAAGAUGGCGGACUCGACAGACACAUCCUUGGCGCCCUCUUUACAACAAAGACCCGAAAAAACAAGUGAAAGAGUAUAUUUGUAACAAGCUGGGAGCCUUGAGCAUCAAAGGCAAGCUUAGACAACAAACUGAGGGGUAGGGGAAGGAAGGGACCUUUCAGAAGCGGAGAGGAGUUGCCGGCCCUGAAUCGUGGGGAGCCCUCAGGCACCAUUCCCGGAGCAGCGGAGGUGGCAGCGGCGGGUGGGUCCUAGCGUUUGGCCGCAGUCUCCUCGGGGAGAAGCAGCAGCCACACAGCCCACUCACACCUCCAGAACCUGAACAGAAGGGCACUCUCCGCAAAAGCUAAGUACUUGCGGAUAUUUUACUGAGCCCCCCCACCCCCACGCCAGCUACAGCGGCUGAAUCCCUAGGCCUGAGAUAGACCCUGGUGAGCACCUGGAGCCGUCCUCCUGGCCUUGGGGAAGGAAAAAAAAUGCAACUGGGGGGAAGAGGUAAUUUGCUAGCUCCAUUAACUGGGGAAUCUCAGGACAGAAGCGACUCCCGUCCAGGCAUAAACCGUCUGUGGACCUUGAGCACCUUUCCCUUCUUCAUGGACCUGUGUGGGCCUAUUUCGGGAGAAUAGGCCCUUGUUGGCAAAGUCCAAGCAUUUCAGCGGUGCCGUGGAGAGGUGGGCGUUUGAUGUUUGACAUUGCUUUGCCUAUUAAACAGGGUCCUCACCUACCCACAUCAGGGACCUGAGGACUGGUAGCUCCACUCAGGUCACCCAGCCACCCGCGACAGGGGUCCAAAGAUAACUGGUACCUCCCACUCCUUACAACCUGAAACUUUGGGUGCCCAUGGUCCGUCUGCAGGACCCACCCUCCAGCAUGCUCUAGGGAACAGAGAUGCGUUUUUCUCAGAGACACUUGGGGGUCAGUUCUUAGUCCCCUGCCUUGUUCAGAGCUUGAGCCUCUGCUGCAAUCAGAUACCGGUAUCUACGCCAAUCACCCCUGCCCCUCUAAGACUGCAGGACAGAGCCUGUACCACACACUUGAUGAUCAGCUACCUGGAAACCUGAGCUGAAUUCAUACAAGAAAACUGAAUGGACUCCUAGACUGAUAUACCUGAUAACACAUCUAGCCAGCUGGAGACAGGACACCAGAGUUCCAAAGCUGAAAACAAUCAAGUUAGCUCACUCAAGCAACCCAUAGCGGUAUACCAAAACAAAACAAAGCAAGCAGCUACGACACAGGAAGCAAGCAUAAACUAAGACAAUAACUUAUAGAUGGCUCGGAGACAACAGUCAAUAUCAAGUCAGGUAAAGAAACAGACCAUGAUCACCUCAACAGGCUCUCAGAACAAAGAAUCCAGGGAUCUUCUAGAUGAAAGUGCAUUCCUGGAAUUACCAGAUGCAGAAUACAAAAGUUUAAUACACAGAACACUUUAGGACAUCAGGAAGGAAAUGAGGUAAUACACAGAACGAGCCAAGGAACACACAGAUAAAGCAACUGAAGAAAUUAGAAAGAUUAUUCAGGAACAUUAUGAAAAGUUUUAUAAGCUGGGAAAAUCCAUAGACACACAACAAUAAGGAAUUCAGAAGAUUAACAAUAAAAUUACAGAUUUAGACAACUCCGUGGAAAGUCAGAGGAGCAGAAUUGAGCAAGUAGAAGCUAAAAUUUCUGAACUCGAAGUUAAAUCACUUGGCACUAAUAUAUUUGAAGAAAAAUCAGAUAAAAGAAUUGAGAAAAAUGAAGAAACCUUAAGAAUCAUGUAUGUGGGACUCUAUCAAGAGAAAUAAGCUACGAGUGAUUGGAGUACCAAACAGGGAGGGAUAACAGAAAAUAUAGAGAAAAUUGCUGAAGAUUUGUUGGCAGAAAACUUUCCAGAUGUUGUGAAAGAUGACAGGAUAUCUAUCCAAGAUGCUCAUCGAACUCCACGUAAGGUGGAUGUUAAAAGAAAGUCACCAAGCCAUAUUAUAAUCAAACUUGCCAAAACCAAAGAUGAAGAGAGAACUAUAAGAGCAGUGAGGGAUAAACAAAAAGUCACCUACAAAGACAGCCAAUAAGAAUAACCUCGGACUACUCGGCAGAAACCAUGCAGGCAAGAAGGCAAUGGGAUGAUAAAUUUAAAAAAUGGAAGGAAAAAAAUUGCCUGCAAACAAUCAUAUAUCCAGCAAAACUGUCUCUUAAAUAUGAAGGUAAAAUAAAGACAUUUCCAAAUAAACACAAGUUUAGGGAAUUCCUAAAAACCAAACCAAAACUACACGAAACACUAAAGGGAGUUCUUUGGUUAGAAAAUCAAUAAUAUCAGGUAUCAACCCAAGACUAGAACACUGGGCAGAGCACCCAGAAGUCAACCCAGACAGGGAAAUCCCCCCCCCAAAAACAAAGCAAGAUUAUUUUAAAAAAGCCUAAAACAGGGCAACAGCAAUGUUAUUAUAUAAAAGAAGACAGCAUUAAAAUAAUAAAGAGGGAUUAAGAAAUGUAAUCAUACACCUUCCAUAUGAAGAGGAAGGUACAACAAUGCAAAGAAGUAAAAGUCUUAAAUUUAGAAAAAUAGGGGUAAAUAAUACGGUAGCCACAAAGGAGACAAACUGUCCUACUCAUCAAAAUAAAAUACAAGGGAAAAAUACAGACUCAGCAGAAACAAUAUCAACAACAACAAAUAUGAGGAAAGGACAAUAUAGAAAGAUAAUCUACUCAGCAUAUAAAAUCAAGUGGGAAAAGAAACUAUGAACAGCACACAAAAAAAGACAUCAAAAUGAUAGUACUAAAUUCAUAAAAAAAAAAAAACCUACCCAUAAUUACCCUGCAUGUAAAUGGACUAAAUGCACCAAUACAGAGACAGACAGUGGCAGGAUGGAUUGAAAAACAAGAUCCGUCUCUAUGCUGCCUACAAGAGACACACCUUAGACUUAGAGACACACUUAACAUCUACUCAAUGGUAGAAAACUGAAUUAUUUCUGGCAGGAGAGACUCUGAAACCUGCUCUUGAACAUACAGUAGCUACAACAAAAGGAAGAAAUGAUGAAAUAAAAGAACUGAACAGAAGAUUUCAAAGGGCGGUUUGAGACGACAAAGUAUUAUAAGGAAACUUGCAAAGACGAAGAGUUAGAAAAGCGCAAUAGAAGAACACGUUCGGCAUUUCUCAGGGUGAAAGAACUGAAGAAAAACUCAAGUCUCAAGUUCCAAUAUUGAAGGAUUCUAUGGGAAAAAUAUUAAACAAUGCAGGAAGCAUCGAAAGAAGAUGGAUGGAUGGCAUACAGAGUCACUGUUUCAAAAAGAAACAGCCAAUAUCCAAACGUUUCAGGAGGUAGCUAGGCUCAAGAACCUAUGGUACCGAAGGGAGAAGUCCAAGCUGCACUGAAGGCACCGGUGAAAAACAAGGCUCCAGGAACUGACAGAGUACCAGCUGAGAUGUGUCAAUGAACGGAUGCAGCACGGGAAGAGCUCGCUUGUCUAUGCCAAGGAAUUUGGAAGACAGCUACCUGGCCAACCAACUGGAAGAGAUCCACACUUGUGCCCAUUCCAAAGAAAGGCGAUCCAAUAGAAUGUAGAAAUUGUCCAAAAUAUCAUGAAUAUCACACACAGGUAAAAUUUUGCUGAAGAUCAUUCAAAAGCAGUUGCAGCAGUAUAGUGACAGGGAAUUGCCAGAAAUUCAAGCCCAGUUCUGAAGAGUGCGUGGAACGAGGGAUAUCGUUGCUGAUAUCAGAUGGAUCUUGGCUGAAAGCAGAGAAUGCCAAAAAGUCUUUUACCUGUGUUUUAUUGACUAUGCAAAGGCAUUUGACUGUGUGGUUCAUAACAAAUUAUGCACAAUCUUGUGAAGAAUGGGAAUUCCAGAACACUUAAUUGUGCUCAUGAGGAACCUGUGCUCAGACCAAGACGCAGUCAUUAGCACAGAACAAGGGGAUACUAUGAGGUUUUAAGUUGAGAAAGGUGUAUGUUAAGGUUGCAUCCUUUCACCAUAUUUAUUCAAUCUGUAUGGAGGAAAUAAUUCAAGAAGAUAAACUAUAAGAAGAAGAAAGCGGGUAUCAGGAUUGGAAGAAGACUCAUUAACAACCUGCAAUAGGCAGAGGACACAACUUCUCUUGCUGAAAGUGAAGAGGACGUGAAGCAGUCACUGAAGAAAAUCAAUGACCACAGCCUUCACUAUGAAUUACACCACAACACAAAGAAAACAAAAAAUCCUCACAUAUGGAUUAAUAAGCAACAUCAUGGUCGAUGGAGAGAAGAUUGAAGUUGUCAAGGAUGUCUUUAUACUUGGACCCACAAUCCACGCCCAUGGAAGUAGCAGCGAAGAAAUCAAUGACAUAUUGCAUUGGGCAAAUGUACUGCGAAAGCCAUCUUUAAAGUGUUAAAAACCAAAAAUGUCACUUUAAGGACUAAGGUGCGCCUGACCCAGGCCAUGGUAUUUUCAAUCGUCUCAUAUGCAUGCAAAACCUGGAAAAUGAAUGAGGAAGACUGGAGAGGAAUUGAUGCCUUCGAAUUAAGGUCUUGGCCAAGAAUAUUGAAUAUACCAUGGACUGCCACAAGAACGAACAAAUCUGUCUUGGAAGAAGUACAGCCAGAAUGCUCCUUAGAAGGAAGGAUGGUGAGAUUUUCUUACGCACUUUGGACAUGUUAUCAGGAGGCACUGGUCCCUCGAGAAGGACAUCUUGCGUGGUAAAGUAAAGGGUUGGUGAAAAGAGAGAGACCUUUAAGAAGAUGGGUUGACACACUGAGUGCAAUACUAGUCUCAAAGAUAGCAGCCUUUGUGAGGAUGGCGCAGGAUCGGCAGUGUUUCCAUCUGUACAAAGGGGCGCCGUGAGUCAGAAUCCACUGGAUAGCACAUAACAACAAAAACACAAGUAGAUGAGUUGAACUGGGGGAAUCACCACCCUGCAUCCUUCAAGUCUUUGAUGGUGGCAGUUAUCUCUAUAAUUCCUCCAGGAAUGCGGUACUGCUUUUGGUUUACUAUUUUCCUAGAUAGGCAGUUCUAAUGGUUUCCCCUUGGCUUUUCCUACCAUAAUAGCCCUUACUCCACUUGUCUGGAAUCCACAAAGGUAGUUCUGCAAGUUGUUGGGUAUUCCAAUUCCAAUUAUGUGUUUAGGAACUGGGGAAAUCACUACGUGAUGGAUUCAGGGACCCACUGAAUCCACUGUGAAAUGAACCAGAGCUAUGGCUCCAUUAAGAACCUGACUUCCGUACAACCGCUUUCUGACCGGUGGGCCACAGUGACAUCUAGGGUCUCCUGGAUUCAGUGUCAGUUCAGAGGCAGUAUCCAGUAAUUCUUACGCUUGUACAGAUCAAGUAACUACUCGAUAGACUUCCCAUCUAUUUCACUCCUAGGGACACCAUGACUAAGUAGCCAAUGCCAUGAGUCCAUAGGAGUCAGGCUACUCUCAUUACUGCUUUGACUCCACUGUCCAUUAUGUGAACCACACCUACCUUGUUCUUGUCCAUUGAGUCACCCGCAUGGCCCCUAACACCGUGGGGUCCAAUCAGCCCCAUUGUAGUUUGGUGUCUUAAUUCAGUUAGGGCAUCUCCCAUUGUGAGAUCUGACUUCCAUAAAAUAACAAUCACAGCAGUCUUCAAGGAUGCUGGGGCUCCCUUCACAAAUUUAUUCCUCACCAUUGCGGUAAAAGGUGUGUCCUCUGAGCAUUCCAUGUGUGGGUCUGUGGGUCUAAGCCGAGAAAUCCACUCUAACAUGCCAGUUUCCCUAAGCCUUUGGAUACCUUCUUCUACUGUGAAAUCAAGGCGGGUCUGGCACUUCAGCUGGGUUUAGUGUGGGCCACCGCUUAAUCUGUGCUUCACUGAAUCAGUCACAUAAACUAUUAAAUCCUUUCCUAAGCUCUCUAGCUGAAACACUGGAUGAAGGAUCUGUGCUUAGUGGACCCAUAUCAAUGAACUCAGGCUGAGGCAACUUUAUGUUCCUUGCACCAUUAUCCCACACCCAUAAUAGCAAUUCCCACACGUAGUCUCCAGGCUUUUGUUUGUAUGUAUUAGAAAAGUCAAGCAGUUCUUUUUCUUUUGGAGUGUAGUGUACCUCCCCCUGGAUCACAUUUUGUGCUUUACCUUUGAGGAUAGCAGGGACUUCAGUCUAGUUAUAGGCCUAGAAGCAACAAUGGGUGUUGGGAAUGUGUCUGGAGAACAUUCAGCAAUGUCUUGUAAGACAUCUGCCUUAAGGGAUGAUGCCCCAGGCAGUGACUCAGACAUCACCCUAGUGGACGACUGAGACAAAGGCUCUUCAGACACAACUGGGUUAAUCUCAGCAGAUGGGGGUCUGAGGGGCUAACAGUUUUCCUGGGGAGGGUGGUUUAGCAGCCAAACAUGGAGUAAUCCCUUCAGGCGGGAGCUGCUAUUUGGUGAUGGCCUUGCUAUUCCUCAAUGAAACUCAUUUUCUUUCACUCCUAAUAGAGUGUGGGAUUUUGUUCUUCAACAACACAAACAAACAGAAAACAUGACCAGAGCCUUUGCAGCAGCAAAUUAGCUAGGAGAAGAUUAUAAUGUAAUGCUUUCAAGUUCUGAUUUAAAGUAGAAUUCUAACCCAGACAAAAUGUGAGGGCAAUCAAGGCAUUUCCAGACAAGUAAGUAAGAACUUAAACAUCUACUUGCAAGGCAUGCACCUUGAGGAAACUGUUGGAGAAAGGAAAUCAGCACAAAGGACUGAUGAGAAAAAAAAAAAAAAAAAAAGACUGUUUAGGCAUAGAAAAUAAAAACAGGCAUCUGAUCUGUCUGUAAAGAGACUAAAGUAACUCUAAGCGCUCAAUGUAGUCUUUCACCUUAGGUUUGGCGUUGGCUGUCUAGCAGCUCCAGGUAAGCUUUCCCCCAGGUUCUACCCUCCUUCCCUAGGAAUCAACCCAUCACCAUGAAGGAAAUGAGUUGCUUUGCGGAUCAAGCUAAAGAAUGUGAAGACUUAAGGCAAACUUUUGGUAUCAGCCUCCUCAGGUUUCUGACAUGUCCAGCAAAGUGAGAGAUCAUGGAAACUCCUUGUUUCCAUUCUCAUCUGGAGAGCUAACAUUCUGAGCAACGUGAUUGUUAACCAACCAGUCUUGAGAAUAUCCGUCCUGUGGCUGCUUUGUAACCAAGGUGAAACCCCCUUGACCUCCUGUCUUUCAAUUGUGUCUUGUAGCCAGUCAAUCGGCUCACGUAAGCAAUAAUGACAACGAUUGUGCUUUACUUGUCGCGUCUUUGAUUGACCUUCGUCACUGUGAACCAACAAGAAAAACUGUAAUUUUAUUCUCCCCCUUCAGCACUCUGAUUACUCCUGAUUUGCCUUCUUCCCGUGAGAUUCCGGAACGUCAGCCUGAGACUUUGCGAUCUCCCACUGCCACGUCUCCGCUGCAAUAAAUCUCUUUCGAUUUUACCUUAAGGGAGCUGGGAAGUCUUUUCUCUCCAACAUUUUGGCGUAGUUAAUCGGCAGGGUUUUUGGAGUUACCCUUCCCCCGGAGACCCGAAGACCUGAAACACGGGAUUCCGGCACCAAGGGCCCCUUUGUGUGCCCCUCGCUGCAGCUUUUUCGGACCCUUCUGGCUGUCUGGGGGGAGAAGGGAGCAGAGAGACUGGAGGACUUCAUUACCACCAAGCAGAAGAGCCAGGAGCAUUUGCUUUGAACCAGGGGCCCCUGCACUGAGAAGCUGCUAGAUCUGGGGAAGACUGAUGACAAGGACCUUCUCCCAGAGCCAACAGAGAGAGAAAGACUUUCCUAGGAGCUGACGCCCUGAAUUCAGACUUCUAGUCUCCUAGACUGUGAGAGAAUAAAUUACUCUUUGUAAAAGCCA
This is a long non-coding RNA of Loxodonta africana (African savanna elephant), 13700 nucleotides long. RefSeq lists it as uncharacterized. NCBI's taxonomy places the organism in Eukaryota, Metazoa, Chordata, Mammalia, Proboscidea, Elephantidae. The record is from RefSeq and is a predicted model, not a curated record. The transcript has 3 exons.